RNAcentral lists this ribosomal RNA (429 nucleotides) under Acidobacteriota bacterium. RNAcentral describes it as "Acidobacteria bacterium partial 16S ribosomal RNA". It matches the Rfam family "Bacterial small subunit ribosomal RNA", at positions 355 to 776 of the family's 1533-position model. The record is from RNAcentral. Lineage: Bacteria; Pseudomonadati; Acidobacteriota.
UGGGGAAUGUUGGACAAUGGGGGAAACCCUGAUCCAGCCAUCCCGCGUGUGCGAUGAAGGCCUUCGGGUUGUAAAGCACUUUUGGCAGGAAAGAAACGUCAUGGGUUAAUACCCCGUGAAACUGACGGUACCUGCAGAAUAAGCACCGGCUAACUACGUGCCAGCAGCCGCGGUAAUACGUAGGGUGCAAGCGUUAAUCGGAAUUACUGGGCGUAAAGCGUGCGCAGGCGGUUCGGAAAGAAAGAUGUGAAAUCCCAGAGCUCAACUUUGGAACUGCAUUUUUAACUACCGGGCUAGAGUGUGUCAGAGGGAGGUGGAAUGCCGCGUGUAGCAGUGAAAUGCGUAGAUAUGCGGAGGAACACCGAUGGCGAAGGCAGCCUCCUGGGAUAACACUGACGCUCAUGCACGAAAGCGUGGGGAGCAAACAGG